Molecule: long non-coding RNA, 512 nt
Filed under: Salvator merianae (Argentine black and white tegu)
Lineage: Eukaryota; Metazoa; Chordata; Lepidosauria; Squamata; Teiidae
Description: lncRNA (ENSSMRG00000023275.1)
Source: RNAcentral
UCUGGCAAUUUUUAUUCUUCUGAGUAAAAACUCUUUAACCUAGAGGAGAGGAAGAGGAGGACAUCUCUUCUGCUUGCACUGUUAUUUCCUGCAUCCUUAACUUUCCUGAGCUGGACAACAUUUGAGAGUAGCCAAGGAGANGCCAUCUGGUUCCUGCACUGAUGAUUAAUGACUGCCAUAGACUACAGGCUCCUGGAUGGCUUCCUGAUUAUUCAGCAUAUGCCCAUGUGGUAUGUGGAGAACACACGCUGGCUCCAGCCACUUGAAAACAAGGCUCUGAGUCAUCCAGCAAAGCUGUUCUCCUUCCACUUUCAAAAGGGAGUCAUCCUGCAACUGACAAAUGCUUCAUGCUUCCAAUCUGGAAUGCUUGCUUUCUUCUCCUCAAGAAAUGUAUGUAUUUAUGCCUAACCUUUCACUCUUUUAUUAACUAACAUCAUUCAAUUAUCACACAGUGAUUCCCCCCUGCAAUAUAAUAGUUCAAGAUGUUUUUACUUGGACCUUGAAUUAAAAAU